Molecule: non-coding RNA, 251 nt
Filed under: Bacillus sp. (in: firmicutes)
Lineage: Bacteria; Bacillati; Bacillota; Bacilli; Caryophanales; Bacillaceae
Description: Bacillus sp. T-box sequence
Rfam family: T-box leader
About the family: Uncharged tRNA acts as the effector for transcription antitermination of genes in the T-box leader family. T-boxes are found upstream of many aminoacyl-tRNA synthetase genes and some amino acid biosynthetic genes usually in Gram-positive bacteria.
Source: RNAcentral
CGGAAGGCAAUGACGAAGAAGAGUAGCAAAUACGGAUACUUAAGAGAGCUGAUGGCUGGUGUGAAUCAGUGUGGAUGUAUGUGUGAAUGGACUUCAGAGCCCCAAACUGAAAGCUGGUGAAAGCAAGUAGGCUUUGGCGAAAAGUCUCAUCGUUACAGGAGACAGGCAUUUAAAUAUUUUUUUUAGAUGCUUGUUAAGUGAGCUGAAUUUUUAGCUAAUGAAGGUGGUACCACGGGUUUCUCGUCCUUUAG